UUUUUUUCCUUAAAAGUAUCACAUGGUUUCAUUUAGGAUAUACACUAGAAUGCAGCUGAAAGUGAUAGCUUACAAGCCAAAUACAUGAUUAACAAACCAGAUUUACAUCCAAACUCCCAAUGAAUUACAUGGGUACUCAAUGGUGGAAAAGCUUGAAAUACAGAAUAAUAAUUAUUGCCAAGAUAAGGGCUCCAAUCACAGAGCCCAUAAUCCACUUGUUUCGGCUAAUUCUUCUAGACAUCGAAGUCAAGAUCUUCUUGCUCUUGUCAAUGGCAUCAUCCACACCGUGAAGCUUAUUAUGUGAAUGUAGCAGUGUUUCACGCUGUUGGUGCAAAUCCCCUAGAAUUGACACACCAAGGUCUUCAGUCUCUAGGGCAAUCCUUCUGCUCUCCCUGAUCCUGUCACUUGACUGAUCAAGUCUCUCUGUUGACAUUGCUAAGCGUUCCCUUUGACUUGCAGAAGCUGCAUGUGGAUCCAUCAUUCCAGACUCUAAAUCAUGGGCAGCUUGAUUAGCACUAGUCAAGGUCAGUUUAUUCACUUCUUUCUUCAACUUAUUCAGGUCUGAUUUGUAUUCCCUCAGUUUAGCAAGUAAUGUUGCUUUUAAACUCGGUUGCAAACUUCUUGCCUCGAGAUCCAUUUUCCGUAUCAACACAUCUGCAUCAUCCAAUCCCACUUUGAGUUCGGAAAUCUGUUGCUUUUUCGGCUCUCCGUCAGCCAAAAGAGCAGCAGAAUUGCAUUUCCGAGACAAAUUGACAGAAAGUUCACAGUACUGCCUCUCAUAUCCCUCAAAUACUUCACUCAUCUUCCCUCAAAAUAUCCGCCCAAACAAAAUUCAACCAGUAAUGAAAUCGUACGGCGUACGUAUGAUCGGAGACGGCGAUAUACGUUGAGUCACUGACGAGCUAAAACUGAGUGGACUCGGAUCAGAG
RNAcentral lists this unclassified non-coding RNA (929 nucleotides) under Hevea brasiliensis (rubber tree). Lineage: Eukaryota; Viridiplantae; Streptophyta; Magnoliopsida; Malpighiales; Euphorbiaceae. The record is from RNAcentral.